UACGUAGGGGGCAAGCGUUGUCCGGAAUCAUUGGGCGUAAAGCGCGUGUAGGCGGUUCGGUAAGUCUGCUGUGAAAGUCCAGGGCUCAACCCUGGGAUGCCGGUGGAUACUGUCGGACUAGAGUACGGAAGAGGCGAGUGGAAUUCCCGGUGUAGCGGUGAAAUGCGCAGAUAUCAGGAGGAACACCAAUGGCGAAGGCAGCUCGCUGGGACGGUACUGACGCUGAGACGCGAAAGCGUGGGGAGCAAACAGG
RNAcentral lists this ribosomal RNA (253 nucleotides) under uncultured bacterium. Its description in RNAcentral is "partial 16S ribosomal RNA". It matches the Rfam family "Bacterial small subunit ribosomal RNA", at positions 524 to 776 of the family's 1533-position model. The record is from RNAcentral.